UCAAUCAGUUUAACAAAAAAUAACAAUCAUUAGUCGAUGCCCAAACAUUGAAAAGGGUUCGACCACCACCUAUUUGUGUCAAACAUAAAUGUGACUUUUUUGGCUUUCAGCCAACCUAGAGACAAGUAUUUUACUUUAUCCAGAAGCCUGAGAAUAGGAGUAAUAGCAUUAUUAAACAACCUAUUGUUACGUUCAGUCCAUAAAACCCGGGCACAAAGAAGUCAGAUGAGUUUAAGGAAAGACCUCCUUGCUUUACACUAACAUUAUUAAUGAUAUUUUUUCUAUCAUUCUCUUUAUCCUUUAUUAAUGACAUGAAAAAGAGGUCCCCGUGAGCAUAGUUCAGUUGGCAGGAACAAUGCAUUAUUAUAUACAGGGGUCGGGGUUCGAAC
Molecule: long non-coding RNA, 389 nt
Filed under: Medicago truncatula (barrel medic)
Lineage: Eukaryota; Viridiplantae; Streptophyta; Magnoliopsida; Fabales; Fabaceae
Description: long non-coding RNA (MTRU_LNC002291)
Source: RNAcentral